RNAcentral lists this ribosomal RNA (484 nucleotides) under uncultured bacterium. Its description in RNAcentral is "partial 16S ribosomal RNA". It matches the Rfam family "Bacterial small subunit ribosomal RNA", at positions 30 to 507 of the family's 1533-position model. The record is from RNAcentral.
AUUGAACGCUGGCGGCAGGCCUAACACAUGCAAGUCGAGCGGAUGAAGGGAGCUUGCUCCUGGAUUCAGCGGCGGACGGGUGAGUAAUGCCUGGGAAUCUGCCUGGUAGUGGGGGAUAACGUCCGGAAACGGGCGCUAAUACCGCAUACGUCCUGAGGGAGAAAGUGGGGGAUCUUCGGGCCUCACGCUAUCAGAUGAGCCUAGGUCGGAUUAGCUAGUUGGUGGGGUAAAGGCCUACCAAGGCGACGAUCCGUAACUGGUCUGAGAGGAUGAUCAGUCACACUGGAACUGAGACACGGUCCAGACUCCUACGGGAGGCAGCAGUGGGGAAUAUUGGACAAUGGGCGAAAGCCUGAUCCAGCCAUGCCGCGUGUGUGAAGAAGGUCUUCGGAUUGUAAAGCACUUUAAGUUGGGAGGAAGGGCAGUAAGUUAAUACCUUGCUGUUUUGACGUUACCAACAGAAUAAGCACCGGCUAACUUCGUG